Molecule: ribosomal RNA, 1216 nt
Filed under: Salmonella enterica
Lineage: Bacteria; Pseudomonadati; Pseudomonadota; Gammaproteobacteria; Enterobacterales; Enterobacteriaceae
Also listed under: 1 other name
Description: partial 23S ribosomal RNA
Rfam family: Bacterial large subunit ribosomal RNA
Source: RNAcentral
GGUUAAGCGACUAAGCGUACACGGUGGAUGCCCUGGCAGUCAGAGGCGAUGAAGGACGUGCUAAUCUGCGAUAAGCGCCGGUAAGGUGAUAUGAACCGUUAUAACCGACGAUUUCCGAAUGGGGAAACCCAGUGUGACUCGUCACACUAUCAUUAACUGAAUCCAUAGGUUAAUGAGGCGAACCGGGGGAACUGAAACAUCUAAGUACCCCGAGGAAAAGAAAUCAACCGAGAUUCCCCCAGUAGCGGCGAGCGAACGGGGAGGAGCCCAGAGCCUGAAUCAGCAUGUGUGUUAGUGGAAGCGUCUGGAAAGGCGCGCGAUACAGGGUGACAGCCCCGUACACAAAAGCGCAUGUGCUGUGAGCUCGAUGAGUAGGGCGGGACACGUGGUAUCCUGUCUGAAUAUGGGGGGACCAUCCUCCAAGGCUAAAUACUCCUGACUGACCGAUAGUGAACCAGUACCGUGAGGGAAAGGCGAAAAGAACCCCGGCGAGGGGAGUGAAAAAGAACCUGAAACCGUGUACGUACAAGCAGUGGGAGCACCUUCGGGUGUGACUGCGUACCUUUUGUAUAAUGGGUCAGCGACUUAUAUUCUGUAGCAAGGUUAACCGAAUAGGGGAGCCGUAGGGAAACCGAGUCUUAACCGGGCGUUAAGUUGCAGGGUAUAGACCCGAAACCCGGUGAUCUAGCCAUGGGCAGGUUGAAGGUUGGGUAACACUAACUGGAGGACCGAACCGACUAAUGUUGAAAAAUUAGCGGAUGACCUGUGGCUGGGGGUGAAAGGCCAAUCAAACCGGGAGAUAGCUGGUUCUCCCCGAAAGCUAUUUAGGUAGCGCCUCGUGAAUUCAUCUCCGGGGGUAGAGCACUGUUUCGGCUAGGGGGCCAUCCCGGCUUACCAACCCGAUGCAAACUGCGAAUACCGGAGAAUGUUAUCACGGGAGACACACGGCGGGUGCUAACGUCCGUCGUGAAGAGGGAAACAACCCAGACCGCCAGCUAAGGUCCCAAAGUCAUGGUUAAGUGGGAAACGAUGUGGGAAGGCUCAGACAGCCAGGAUGUUGGCUUAGAAGCAGCCAUCAUUUAAAGAAAGCGUAAUAGCUCACUGGUCGAGUCGGCCUGCGCGGAAGAUGUAACGGGGCUAAACCAUGCACCGAAGCUGCGGCAGCGACACUGUGUGUUGUUGGGUAGGGGAGCGUUCUGUAAGCCUGUGAAGGUGU